GACCUGGUGGUGAAAUGUCAUCACCCCCACUCCCCGUCCACGCACAGUUGCCAUGAGAGAUGUAAGGCAGGAGUCCCCGGUUCGAUUCCGGGCCAGGUCA
Molecule: non-coding RNA, 100 nt
Organism: Mycena alexandri
Lineage: Eukaryota; Fungi; Basidiomycota; Agaricomycetes; Agaricales; Mycenaceae
Source: the annotation of a GenBank genome assembly